CCUACGGGUGGCAGCAGUGGGGAAUAUUGGGCAAUGGGCGCAAGCCUGACCCAGCAACGCCGCGUGAAGGAAGAAGGCUUUCGGGUUGUAAACUUCUUUUCUGAGGGACGAGGAAAGUGACGGUACCUCAGGAAUAAGCCACGGCUACAUACUUGCCAGCAGCCGCGUAAAUACGUAGGUGGCAAGCGUUAUCCGGAUUUAUUGGGUGUAAAGGGCGUGGAGGCGGGAAAGCAAGUCAGAUGUGAAAACUCAGGGCUCAACCCCGAGCCUGCAUUUGAAACUGUUUUUCUUGAGUGCUGGAGAGGCAAGCGGAAUUCCGGGUGUAGCGGUGAAAUGCGUAGAUAUACGGAGGAACACCAGUGGCGAAGGCGGAUUGCUGGACAGUAACUGACGCUGAGGCGCGAAAGCGUGGGGAGCAAACAGGAUUAGAUACCCUUGUAGUC
RNAcentral lists this ribosomal RNA (443 nucleotides) under uncultured bacterium. RNAcentral's name for it is "partial 16S ribosomal RNA". It matches the Rfam family "Bacterial small subunit ribosomal RNA", at positions 338 to 795 of the family's 1533-position model. The record is from RNAcentral.